AAGUUCCUGCACAGCCACAAAUCACCUUUACAUUAUCAAACCAACGAGAGCUUUUCAAGCUAGCAUCCGAGGAGCUGCAAUGAAGUUUCGGUAUUUGCAGUUUCAGCUUUGGGAAAUACCUACACACUCUGCAUGUAAGCAGGACUCUGUACAUCAGAGAGACAGGAAGGAGUCAACAAAAGGAACACAAGCUGAGAGAUGAAGCGCUGCAGGAGCAGCUCCACGAGCUCUCCUGCAGAGGCGGCGUCGACCCGGGCUGCCUGCUGCCUGCUGGAGGCUGCUGGCUGGUGCCUGUUUUCUCCACAGGGGCGAAUCAAUCCAGAGCUGUGCUCACGUCUCCACAGGGAGAGGGCGGGCUUAAUUUAGGCCUCAGCAGAAAAGAGACAUUACAGCUCAUCAUGUUCCUGGAAUCAAGAGGUUAUGUAGUUUCUACAUCUCCUGGCUCAUUUUUAGGUAAAACUAUGCAGCCCUGAUGUAUCUCCCAAACACACCCACAGUAACGUCAGUGACUGUGCAUGACUCACAUCUCCACAGCAGUGUGUGUGAUGGAUUGCUUUUCCUCCUCCGCCGAUGUCUCUGGUGUCAUCCCUCACGGAAUUUUCUUCAUCCUGUAGCAUCUCAUCAACGCUGCGCACACUGCCAGUGGAAUAACUGCAGUGCAGAGAUAACACAGAGGACAAUGACGCCAUCCAUCAAGAUACUAAACAAAACUUACCCGCGUUUCCAGUGUUGCAGGAAAAACAAUCGACUUGUUGGCAGCUGAAGAGGCCUGCAGCUUCAUGCUCCAGUAUCUGCUGCAGCUCUCAGUCAAACAAAGCUCCUUAUGCAGGUUAAACAGCCCUACAGUCAUGCAAACGAUUCACACCUGGAUCAGUGACAUGCCUUACGGGAAAACAAACUGUAAAAUGAGGUGUUGAACAGCAGGAAUAACCUGCAGAUAAAGCAAAGGGAUGACUUGUUUCUGUGUACUCUUGAUUUGAAACAAAAUGUGGAUUUCCUGCAGCAGCGUGUCAGAACAUGAGAGACACUCUAAGGUUGCUUGGUUCAUCGCCCGGUUUACAACCUGCUCUUUAUAAACCUCCUGUUUUUGGUAGCAUGGCUUUGAAACUGUGGGUGACAGGCCUGCAGGAAACUCAUCAUCUCCUGCUCUACCAUGUGCACACUUGAUUCAUCCUGUUUCCAUGCUCUGACAGCUGAACGCAGACACAUGUCUAAACAGAUCUGCAGAAAAGAGUGCUUUGAUAAACUUUGAUAGACUGUGAGUCAUGCUCAGACCUGUGAACGGCUGAGUUAUGGCCUCAGGUUUUAAGUGGAUGUAAUAACCGGUGAGGUGGUGCUGAUGAUACUUGAUCAUUUCAAUUAUGCAUCAGGGUUGUGCAGCCAGAGAAUGUCCUGCCCUGCAUGUUUUUUAUGUGGGUGUCGAUAGUGAAGGCCUACCCUGACACAAUGCUUCAGCUGCACAAUAAACAAUGGAGGCAGUUUAA
Long non-coding RNA from Notolabrus celidotus (New Zealand spotty), 1484 nucleotides. RefSeq lists it as uncharacterized. Lineage: Eukaryota; Metazoa; Chordata; Actinopteri; Labriformes; Labridae. The record is from RefSeq and is a predicted model, not a curated record. The transcript is spliced from 3 exons.